Molecule: long non-coding RNA, 1691 nt
Organism: Ictalurus punctatus (channel catfish)
Lineage: Eukaryota; Metazoa; Chordata; Actinopteri; Siluriformes; Ictaluridae
Source: Ensembl
GACAAUUUCAGGUACACGACAAAAGGACGUAUAGUGAAAACACACACACACACACACACACACACACACGGAGGAGGUAGCAGAUGGAAUGAGGAAUAAGGCGUGAUGAAAAAUGCAUGUGUUAUAACAAAACACGCUCCGUACGACUGAGGGUUCAAACCAGGACAAGGUGCAUAGAUUUCGUUCGUUUUGUGCUCACGGGGAGCACACUAAAUGUCCACGUGCCAUUCCUUUACAUUUCCCAACCCUAAGGCUUGCUCUCCGUUAUGUAUAUUUAAAAAAAAAAAAAAGUACAGUCAUUAAUAAUCUGUAUCACAGGAGUAAGGGCGGAAAUAAAAUAAAAAAAGAGAACCAUCCGGACAUCUCCUUAGAGUUUAUCGCAAUCAUAAAUAGCUGUAUCUAUAAUUUAGGAAGGAUGAUUUGGCUGAGACGUGGACGCUCGAGCAGGGCACGCAUUAUCCCAUCCGGCUGCCUCCGUGAGCGAAUCUGUAUCUAUAGGUUCCUCCGUCACUCAUGUGUCUGGUUCUUUAUUAACGGCUAUUGCUUAGAGACGUCGUCCGUUUCGUUCGACGCCGUGCGUCUCUCCGUCUCUCGCCUCUCCUCCUUGCUUCUCCUAGUAAAGGAGGCGUGGCUUGUGUUUGCACAAUACUGAAUGACAUUGCAUCACGUCGUGUCACAUCGAACCGGCUCUAAAUAACAUUCUACUGAAUAGCUGGCUGCUAUCAAAACUGACUCGACUCGUCGUCUAAUUACCGACCCCUUCAUUAUCAGGCCGUGUGUGUGUGUGUGUGUCUGUGUGUCAAAAAAAAAAAAAGAGUGCUGGCGUAAGACAAAUGCAUAGUUCAUUGCAGGGAGUAGGACAGCAAAACUACUCUAUAGGCAUUAAGAACUGGGACGCGGGGUUAAAUCUCAUACGACUGAAGAAUAUAUCUGCUGUGUCGAGCUUAGCCAAUUAGGAACGAGAUCUGAAACGGCUAUGACUUAAUUGCCUCCAUACUUCCUCGUUAUCUUGUUUAUCGCGUGAAAUAUAAAACAAAUGCUCUUGCUUAAAAAGUGCGCGGCGAUAUUACGGCAGGGAUAAAUCUCCCUCCGCCACGUUUCAAAGAAAUCGGGCUGUAAUUAAUAUCGCGCUAACGUCUGGCUAUUAUUCAUCCAUUGGAAGCUUAGAAUAAUUGUUCUGAUAGUGAUGUGACAGAAAGACAUAGAGCAGACAUAAAUCCUUCUCGCCGUCUGACAGCCAGCCAGUUCAGACUGAUUGGGUUCGAUCUGUGUUUAAGGGGUGGAGAUGUGGGUUUAAAAGCGUGAAUCGCACCCCCCGAUUUAAAUCGGCUAACGAUCGGUUUGAUUAGGGAGGGACGUCGGGGCAGCGGAACGGCCAGACGGUCCUCGAGCCGUCACAGCCGUGCAGUUUGGCGCUGAAAGACAGACUACCUCCGAGUUUUCGGCCAGGAUUGCAUUUGUAUUCAGAAAGACACGAGCCCUUGUGGGCUACUCCGUCGAAAGAGCACGCUCGAUGCAGACGACGCAGAGUGCAGAGAAGACGCUCCCCGGCUGCGCUGCGCCUCCCGCCGGCAUCCUCGACCUUUGCCAAGCCUCCUGGGUCCAGCCUCCCGGCCGCUCCAUCCAUUCCUCGCGCCCCACUCUGGGAAGCCAGUGAUCCACACUCACUCACUCAAGCCUUUGCACCUGCA